UACGGAGGGGGCUAGCGUUGUUCGGAAUUACUGGGCGUAAAGCGCACGUAGGCGGCUUUGUAAGUUAGAGGUGAAAGCCCGGAGCUCAACUCCGGAACUGCCUUUAAGACUGCAUCGCUUGAAUUGUGGAGAGGUAAGUGGAAUUCCGAGUGUAGAGGUGAAAUUCGUAGAUAUUCGGAAGAACACCAGUGGCGAAGGCGACUUACUGGACACAUAUUGACGCUGAGGUGCGAAAGCGUGGGGAGCAAACAGG
Molecule: ribosomal RNA, 253 nt
Filed under: uncultured bacterium
Lineage: Bacteria
Description: partial 16S ribosomal RNA
Rfam family: Bacterial small subunit ribosomal RNA
Source: RNAcentral